Long non-coding RNA from Perognathus longimembris pacificus (Pacific pocket mouse), 559 nucleotides. RefSeq lists it as uncharacterized. The transcript has 2 exons. NCBI's taxonomy places the organism in Eukaryota, Metazoa, Chordata, Mammalia, Rodentia, Heteromyidae. The record is from RefSeq and is a predicted model, not a curated record.
GUUUGAACCACUGUAACUGUGAAUGCUGAGGGCUUCCAGAGAUGUAAAGGAAAUCUGUCAAGUAUGUGUUUCUCCAAUGAUAACCAAGAUUUAUUUGACUAAUCAAGUUAGAUAUGUAGAUUACCCAUUCUUAUCUUGUACUUCUCUUGAAUCCCUCCCAAAACUUUCCAACAUUGUUGUGCCAGUACAGAGCUUGCUGGCUAGUUGGAGGUAAAACUCUUGUAUUUAUCAUCCUAGACUGUCUUCAAACCUCUAUCCUAAAAUCUAAGCCUCUGAGUAGCUAGGAUUACAAGUAUGAGUCACUGGACCUUGGGUCCACCAUUUUCUUGUCUAAGGAAAAUAUUUGCUUAAGGAAAACAAGUACUCUGGUUCUAGAGAUCUGGACAUUGACAAACCUUUACAUAAUGUCCAUGCAAGACCUUACAAAAGAUCUGGAGUCAGCUGAAUUCAGGUAACUGUUUCUAGAAAAUGGUGCUGGCUUCUGGGAGACUCUGCAAUGACCCAUAACGUGAGAUAAAAGAGACAAUCACUAAGGCAUCUAUUUCCUCUUCCUCUACUU